This 5551-nucleotide long non-coding RNA is filed under the name Canis lupus familiaris (dog). RNAcentral describes it as "lncRNA (ENSCAFG00845004037.1)". The record is from RNAcentral. Lineage: Eukaryota; Metazoa; Chordata; Mammalia; Carnivora; Canidae.
UUUUUUUUUUUUUUUGGUGUUUUUUAAUGCCUGUGCCAUUCUUUGUAAAUUUCAUUUUAGUUUAUAGUUUUAUUUUUUUAUCAUUCUAAGAUUUAAAUAUGCUCUCUAAGUACAUUUCUAUAUCAUGAUACCCUGUUUCAUUUCUAAAACUGAGUGCCCAGUGGGCUAAUUCACUUUUGUUGCUGAUAGUGUUGCACCCUAGCAUAGGGCAAGAGGUUGGAUGAGAGCAGUGCUUUUUUAACUCUGCAUCAGAUUGUAUACCAGAUUCCCCUGCAGAGCUCCAUAAAACAACAGAUUGCUUGGGCCCCAUCCCCAGAUUCUCUGAUUUGGUAUGUCUGGAGAUGCCUGACGAUAUGUAUUUCUAACAAAUUCCCAGGUGAUGUCUAUGCUCUUGGUACUUGGACCACAUUUUGACAACCCCUGAUCUUUCUAGAGAAAGAUUAGGAACAGAGGGCUGCAGAGAGUUUCAACAUUGACCAACUUAGCUGAAUCUGUAGAUCACUGACAUAAAUGAGACAAUGAGUAAAAUAUGGUUUAGAGGAUGGAGAUUAAAAAAAACCCAAUAUGUGUCAUAAUACAUUUUGAAGUUUUUGACUGCAACAUAAAUUUGAAAGUGCCUAAUAUGCAUAUAUGGUAUGUUCUAGCAAAAACUUAAAAAAAAAUAAUGAAAAAAAAUCACUGGCCUAAAAAAGAAAUUCUGGUGAUUGAUUAAGUCAGUAAAAAGUGAAUAGGCCAGUGGAAAGAAAUAUCAGCCUAUCUCUGUAAUUAGAGCUAGGUAUGAACAGCUUAUCACCAUUCUGUUGAUACUUGGCAAGAUGACAGUGGUAAAGUGAGCCAGCUUCUUUUGAAUGCAUGUGAUACAAUAUAAACUAGAUAAACAAGGUUUCAAAAUUUACUGGAGUGGCUGUAAAAUAUAUAGCCCCUUUAUACAUACCUUUAGGACCCAACCAGAAUUGAAACAUUGUCGAAGUAAAUCCAGGAAAGUAGCAAAUGAAGUACAAGGUAUAAAUCACUGAUUCUGUGAAACUUGGGAGAAUUCAGAAAGGGCUGAAUAUAAAUAAGGUAGAGAAUGGUAAAUUAUGGCAGUUAACUCUGCUGUUUAGCUAAUGAACAUCAUUGACAGAGUUACCUUCUACAAGUGUAUAUCUCUCUACCUCUCUCCCUUUUUCCCUCCCUCCUUCUCAUUUUCCCUCCCCCCCCCCCAUUUCCUUCUCUUCCUCCCUCCUCCUUUAUGUUCAACAAAUAUUUUGGUACAUCUGCUCUAUGCCAGGCACAGACUGCGCUUGGUAGGCUUUGAGAUGCCGCAAUGAGUGAGAUGUUAUGUUUACUCUCAUGGAUCUUUACAGUCUAUCAAGGUAGAUAUUUGGCAAAUGAUUUAAAUUAGGAAACAUCCUGUGAAGGAAGAGUGUGUACUAUAAAAACAUGUGACAGAGGGACAUGUCCUAUCAAGGAAUCAGGCAAGGCCUCUCUUGGUGAAUGUUUGUACUUCCAUGCUUUGAAAGAAAGACUUUGUCUUGUCCAUUCCUUAUCCUUGACCCUACAGCACUACCUGGAAUAUUGUGUCCACUUAAUAAAUAUGUGUUGACUAAAUAAUUCUGAGCUCUGAGUGUGAAUAGAGCUAGUUAAGUGGAGGAUUAAUGGUAAUGGGGAUCAUUCCAGGAAAGUAGCACAUGAUGUGCCCAAAUGUAAAGUUGGUUGUCCAAUAUGGUAGCUACAUUUGACUAUUUAGCAUUCGGAAUAUGGCUAGUCCAAGUUGAGAUGCACUAUGAGUAUAAAAUAUGCAACAGGUUUUAAGGACUUAGUAUGAAUAAAAAGAAUGUAAAAUAGCUAUUAGCAAAUUUUAAAAUACUGAUUACACAUUGAAAUUAUUGUAGUGUAGAUUUGUUGGGUUAAACCAAAUAUAUUAUUAAAAUAAUUUUACCUAGUUCUUUUUAAAUUUUUAAAUGUAACAUUACAUGUGUGACUUGCAUUUGUGGCUCCAUUAUAUUCUUUUGCACAGCACUGAUAUAUAGUAUGCCAUCCAGAUGGUUUUAUUUGAUGGAAGUAUUAUGUGAGGGGAAUCUGACAUGUAUUACACACUCUUGCUCUCUGAUCUGAAAUUGGAGACCAUUCCAUCUUACUUGUUCCUGCACUGUGGCAAGUCCCUGUACAGAGAGAAACGUGUCUUUCUGAAAAGCUGUUGCAUUGUAAAAGCUUACUGUGUUGACCUGUUAUUUGAUUGUCGUAUUGUGCAUCUCAAUACAAAAAUUUUAGUCUCUAAGAAUGCUGCUGAGUGAAUAGAUUUAGUGAACAGCUUCUGAGAAGUGUGGUGAUGGAUGUAAAUGCCAGCCAUAUUUCUUUCAUGAGUCCCAUUCCUAGUUUGUUUGCUUGAGAGGUUAUGUUGAUUGGACAGUUUGGGGUUUAUUUGGCCAAGUGGUGAUAUACUGAGGCAAAUUGGUUCUGUCUUCUGAGUAAGAAUAAACUAUGAGAAAUGGAAGUAGAGUGGGGACCAUUCUCAAUGGAUACAACUUCAGCUUGUAGGUGUUUUAAAUCCCUGAAUAGGAAACAGUGCCAAUGAUUAGAAUCUUUAUAUUCUGAAUACAUUCAGAAGGAAUGUAGCAUCGGGAAGGAGAAGGAAUGUAUUGUAAAAGUUAAUUCCGAGGUCCAGCUCUGUGUGCCCAUAGAGCAAUAGAAGCAUGAGAACUGGCUGUAUAUUUGCAAUUGCUUUUAGUUGAGAGGGUCCUUUGGUUUCCAACAAAUAACUAAACUCAAGAAGAAUGAUAGCAUGCAAAGCUAUAUAAAUAAAACAAUGAAACAACAUUAUUUUAUAGGGAAAUCUACAAACCCAAACAUUAGCAGUAGUAAUGAAGAGUUAAAACAAUUAAAAUGCAUCCUAAUACAUAAUACUAUAUAUAUGCUAUGCUGUUAGAUGAUAUUUUUACUGUCUCAUUCUGUCCUUCAUUCACUUGGAAUUAAGAGGAGCCAAGAAGUAGUAUUUUGUUUAAUUGUUCAUGAUGAGGAAUGGACCCAAAAUAAGGCUCUCUCACUGCAUUCAGAUUAGCCAAUUUGGGCAAAUUCAUGAUAUCCAGUUUGUAUACUCCACGGGUGCCAAAAAAUGGCCAAGUGUCUGGACCUACCUCAUCUUAAUAAAAAGUGGAGAACAUCUCAAUGACCCUAUGAAUUUUACCUGUGAGAUUUUCAGUUUGAUUAACUGUUCAGUUUGAUUAAUUGACUUUAGACCAUGGUUCGUGAGGCAACAGACUUUUUUGUCCAUUGUAUACAUUUUUGAAAUUUCGUUUGUUAGUUACACUUUACACAUAAUGUUAUCUUGAUGUGCAAAGCUAUGACAUUGGAAUUUUAUCUUAAUCUUCUUGAAGACCUAAAGGAUAAACAAUAUUUGAUAAAUAUUUGCAUACUUACUAUGUGCUAAGGUAAAUCUCAGUUUAGCAUCACAAGAGAUAAAGCAUUGUCUACAUUUGAAAUACAGAAAAUUUCUCAGUCAAGAUGGCUCAGGAAAGCUAAACAAGGUGGAAAAAUGUAUUCAGGGCCAAGGUCAGGCCUUUUCGGGGGGCCUAGUGUGAUGGAGUUCUCCUGGCAUCUACUCAAGUAGGAGUUCACAAGGUUAAUUUGCUCUAUGCUUCUGAAACACAAAAGAGGAAAUUUUAGAAGGCUAUGAAAUAUACUCUUUGAGGUUAGGGAAAACUUUGCAGAAACUAAGAAAGCUAUAGAAUAGAAGUGCCAAAGGUGAUAAAGAAAGGUAUUGAGGAGGAGGAGCUGCUGAGCCCAAAGCUUGGGAAGGGAAAUAUUAGCCUUGGUAUAGUUCAACAAGUAUGAUGGAAUCUAGCUGUAGGCCAACUACUGUUGUAAAAUGGCUCAAAUAAAUAAUUUAUUCCUCAUUAACAAUAGUAGGCAGGUGAAUAGCAGUGGAUGAUUUUCUUUUGCACUGUUUUAGGGGAGGAAAGGACCCAGGCUGAUAGAAACUCUGCCAUCUUCAACACCUAUCUUCCAAGAUCACUUCCAUUUUGGUCAACUAUGUAGGGAAAGGAGCAUCUAAGAGAUUGUUACAGAUUUUGCCUGGAAAUGGUCCAUGUCACUUCUACUCCCCUUCUAUUGGUAGAUCUGAAUUAUGCAGCCAUGUCUAAUGCAAAGGAGACUGUGAAAGAUAAUCUAGAUGUGCACUGAGGCAGAAGAGGAGAACCCGGAGCAAGGCCAACAACUAGUGAUCUCUGCUAGAUUGGUUCAACUAAAUACUGAUUCUGUAUACCUUCAACACAAUCUGAUUUUUACCUUUAGAUCGCUCUAGAGUAGAGUUAACACAACACCUCAUGCCAAGUCAACACUUGUGACACUUUGGUGUUUACAUGUGUUCAGCUGGAUGCUUAACUCUGACCUCACGUGUCAUAGCUCUCUGGGAAGAAGUUCAAUCCAGUAUAAUAUUACAUAAUCUUGUUCAUAUCCUUAUCAUGCAGACAACUUGAUAAAUGCAAAAAACAUGCUUUUUGCAGUUAGAUAGACAUGGGUUUGGGUCCUUGUUCUUGACUUCUUAUUGUGUAUGCUUGGGUAAGUGUCUAACCUCUUUGAGGCUUAGAUUUGAUAUCUUAAUGAGAAAAGCAGAACAUAGCUAGUUGGUGCUCUUUAACUAAAACUUUAUCAUUUAUUCCUUUCCUCAAGCUACAAGCACUAUUUAGUAUUAAAUUACAUUGUGCAUACAGAGCUAUAACUGUUUACAUUUACUGAGGAAUAUAGUUGGUGCUCUUUAAAUGCUUGUUGAAUGCCUGACCUCAAAUCAAUAUUCUAGAAUUAACAACAAUCUAAAUUUAAUGCAAGCUAAAAGUUUGAAGAUUCUGCUAUGACCAUGAUGUCUACUUUUUCUUCCUUAGAUGGGAUUAUAUACAAGGGACAGGAACUUGGAUAGUCACAUUUAAAGCUUGCCUGCCAAAUCAUUUUAAAAUAAAGUUGGCAAAUUAUUUUAUCUCUUGCUUUUCCUUUCUCUGAGAUUUUUAGUACAAGUUGCUUGAUUGACAUAUAGGGAAAAGAAAAGACAUGUUCUACACUUCAGUGAGGAUUAACCAGAGAACAGUUUACACUCCUAAAGAUCAGCUGGCAUGGUGACCAUGAACUUCCGAGCUUCCAAGGAUCACAGUAAAAGUGUGCAGAACCAGGGAGAGAAAGGGUGACAAGAGAGAAAGGGCAGUUUCAGGAACAUCUGCUUCUUCAGAUCUUUCCCACCUAAGAGUUGCCUCAUUCAAAGUCUUCAAACAAAGCUCAGGAAGAAAGCCAUUUGUGUCAGAACCAUGUUUAGUGCUGAAUGCGUAGAGAAAGGGCUCUCCUCCCUGCUGUGCUCCACAUGGAGAUGAAAUGGAAGCUCUCUAUUAUGCAUCUGUGUCAAAGUCAUUCCUUCAUCCAGCUAUCCUACUUCCAGAAUAGAGGAGAUUCUAUCUGGGUCAGCCGAUUAACCAGCCCUUGUCUUAAAUUUCUCUACCUUCUCUCAUGCAGUCUGCAAGUAUUUACUGGCCUUGGGAAAUAUAAGUCUUUAUCUCUCAUGGAAGUUACAUUACAAAAAAAAAAAAAA